AUGAAGAACGCAGCGAAAUGCGAUAAGUAGUGUGAAUUGCAGAAUUCAGUGAAUCAUCGAAUCUUUGAACGCACAUUGCGCCCCUUGGUAUUCCAUGGGGCAUGCCUGUUCGAGCGUCAUCUACACCCUCAAGCUCUGCUUGGUGUUGGGCGUCUGUCCCGCCUCCGCGCGUUGGACUCGCCCCAAAUCCAUUGGCAGCGUUCCUUGCCUCCUCUCGCGCAGCACAUUGCGCUUCUCGAGGGCGGCUCCGGGACGCGACCCACGAAAGAUGACCACCGUCUUUGACCUCGGAUCAGGUAGGGAUACCCGCUGAACUUAAGCAUAUCAAUAAGCGGAGGAA
Molecule: ribosomal RNA, 340 nt
Filed under: uncultured organism
Description: eukaryotic LSU rRNA
Rfam family: 5.8S ribosomal RNA (bases 1-119)
Source: RNAcentral